Molecule: ribosomal RNA, 460 nt
Filed under: uncultured bacterium
Lineage: Bacteria
Description: partial 16S ribosomal RNA
Rfam family: Bacterial small subunit ribosomal RNA
Source: RNAcentral
CCUACGGGUGGCAGCAGUGAGGAAUAUUGGUCAAUGGACGAGAGUCUGAACCAGCCAAGUAGCGUGAAGGAUGACUGCCCUAUGGGUUGUAAACUUCUUUUAUAUGGGAAUAAAAUGUUCCACGUGUGGGCUUUUGUAUGUACCAUAUGAAUAAGGAUCGGCUAACUCUGUGCCAGCAGCCGCGGUAAUACGGAGGAUCCGAGAGUUAUCCGGAUUUAUUGGGUUUAAAGGGAGCGUAGGUGGAUUGGUAAGUCAGUUGUGAAAGUUUGCGGCUCAACCGUAAAAUUGCAGUUGAAACUGGCAGUCUUGAGUACAGUAGAGGUGAGCGGAAUUCGUGGUGUAGCGGUGAAAUGCUUAGAUAUCACGAAGAACUCCGAUUGCGAAGGCAGCUCACUGGACUGCAACUGACACUGAGGCUCGAAAGUGUGGGUAUCAAACAGGAUUAGAUACCCUUGUAGUC